RNAcentral lists this ribosomal RNA (447 nucleotides) under uncultured bacterium. RNAcentral's name for it is "bacterial SSU rRNA". It matches the Rfam family "Bacterial small subunit ribosomal RNA", at positions 355 to 825 of the family's 1533-position model. The record is from RNAcentral.
UGGGGAAUAUUGCGCAAUGGGGGAAACCCUGACCCAGCAACGCCGCGUGAAGGAUGAAGUAUUUCGGUAUGUAAACUUCGAAAGAAUAGGAAGAAUAAAUGACGGUACUAUUUAUAAGGUCCGGCUAACUACGUGCCAGCAGCCGCGGUAAUACGUAGGGACCAAGCGUUGUUCGGAUUUACUGGGCGUAAAGGGCGCGUAGGCGGCAUGACAAGUCACUUGUGAAAUCUCUGGGCUUAACCCAGAACGGCCAAGUGAUACUGUCGCGCUAGAGUGCAGAAGGGGCAAUCGGAAUUCUUGGUGUAGCGGUGAAAUGCGUAGAUAUCAAGAGGAACACCUGAGGUGAAGACGGGUUGCUGGGCUGACACUGACGCUGAGGCGCGAAAGCCAGGGGAGCAAACGGGAUUAGAUACCCUUGUAGUCCCUGAGCGGGCUGGCAAGGCGCAU